UAGCAGCACGUAAAUAUUGGAGUUAAGGCUCUCUGUGAUACCUCCAGUAUUGAUCGUGCUGCUGAA
Molecule: microRNA precursor, 66 nt
Filed under: Tetraodon nigroviridis (spotted green pufferfish)
Lineage: Eukaryota; Metazoa; Chordata; Actinopteri; Tetraodontiformes; Tetraodontidae
Description: Tni-Mir-15-P2a2_pre stem-loop
Rfam family: mir-16 microRNA precursor family
About the family: The hairpin precursors (represented here) are predicted based on base pairing and cross-species conservation -- their extents are not known. In this case the mature sequence is excised from the 5' arm of the hairpin.
Source: RNAcentral